RNAcentral lists this ribosomal RNA (397 nucleotides) under uncultured Clostridium sp. RNAcentral describes it as "bacterial SSU rRNA". It matches the Rfam family "Bacterial small subunit ribosomal RNA", at positions 355 to 768 of the family's 1533-position model. Lineage: Bacteria; Bacillati; Bacillota; Clostridia; Eubacteriales; Clostridiaceae. The record is from RNAcentral.
UGGGGAAUAUUGCACAAUGGGGGAAACCCUGGUGCAGCAACGCCGCGUGAAGGAAGACGGUCUUCGGAUUGUAAACUUUUGUUCUUGGUGAAGAAAAAUGACGGUAGCCAAGGAGGAAGCCACGGCUAACUACGUGCCAGCAGCCGCGGUAAUACGUAGGUGGCAAGCGUUGUCCGGAAUUACUGGGUGUAAAGGGCGUGUAGGCGGAGAUGCAAGUUGGGAGUGAAAUCCAUGGGCUCAACCCAUGAACUGCUCUCAAAACUGUAUCCCUUGAGUAUCGGAGAGGCAAGCGGAAUUCCUAGUGUAGCGGUGAAAUGCGUAGAUAUUAGGAGGAACACCAGUGGCGAAGGCGGCUUGCUGGACGACAACUGACGCUGAGGCGCGAAAGCGUGGGGAG